Molecule: long non-coding RNA, 1054 nt
Organism: Epinephelus lanceolatus (giant grouper)
Lineage: Eukaryota; Metazoa; Chordata; Actinopteri; Perciformes; Serranidae
Source: RefSeq, a predicted model, not a curated record
GCGCACUGCCAGGUAGCGCAGCGAGGGGCCCAGCACAAAGUUGUCCCUCGUCAGCUCACACGGGGAGUCGAAGUGGAGCAGAGUCCAGAGGUGGGGGUCCAGGAAGGCCUCCCGUAGCAGGUGACAGUUGUGCACACCCUCCACCUCCCCAUCACCACUUAGUCUUCAUGGAUUCAUCAUCCUCAUCCACCUCAUCAGCCAUCAGUCUCAGAGUCAUCAGCCACCAACUCCACCAGUGUCUGGACUCCAUGGGGCUGGGUGUUUAUCUUGCUGCAGCUCAGACGUCCCUCGAUCACAUAAUGUCUCCCAAAGGCGCCAAAGGCUUCUGUUAAAUCUUAAUCAGCACAAAUCAUCUGUUAAUCUGUACACUCAUAUUCUGUAUUGAAUAAUAUCGUUACUUCAUUCUUUUGUCUCUCCUGAUUGAAAUACAUUUGCUGUAUGACCACUUCCUCCCUGACCUUUUCUGGCAAAUUUCAUUUUUUGAUCCAUGUGUAUAUUUGGAUUAGUAAUGAUACUGAUGAAAUUCCAAUUACUUAGCUUGUAUUAGAUUAAAGAGCAGUCUCUUAGGUAAAAUGUACGGCAUUUCGUUUUUGCUCAUUUCAAACCACCAUGCUUCUACAGCUAGCUAAACACUGGCUGACAGGGGCGGAGAUGGUUGUUAACACCUUUUUAAAAAGUGUUAAAACCAACCCCAGUGACAACAAAACACAUUUUACCUGUCUAUUCUAAUCCUUUUUUUUAGCACGUGGGAAGAGUUGGUGAAAAAAACAGGCACACACACUACAGUCUUCAUCAGAUGAGGUGAGGCAGAGAAAGACAGCGAGGUCUGUCCCCAAAUAAUACUCUAUCUGCCAUGUGACACUGAGCAGAUCCUGCAAAAAAUGGUAAAACCACAGAGAAGGAACCAGAGUUCACAUGGAAUUGGGCGGUAGACGUCAGAUUAGAAAACAGCUUUUGGACGGCACAGGAAAAACGAAACUUGCAAGACAAUAUGUUGUGAUGGUAAUGUUGUCUUGUUUACAAAGAAUGAAAUAAAAAAAGUAUUUCAUGUCUA